GUUUAUAUAGUUUAUUUUGUAAAACCUUACAUUUUCACUGUAAAAAAAAUUAAUUAAUUUAUAAAUU
RNAcentral lists this transfer RNA (67 nucleotides) under Himalopsyche malenanda. RNAcentral's name for it is "tRNA-Glu". Lineage: Eukaryota; Metazoa; Arthropoda; Insecta; Trichoptera; Rhyacophilidae. The record is from RNAcentral.